This is an RNA transcript of Siniperca chuatsi (mandarin fish), 6701 nucleotides long. It is a transcript of the gene named kinesin family member 5A, a, with no coding region annotated. The record is from RefSeq and is a predicted model, not a curated record. The transcript has 29 exons. NCBI's taxonomy places the organism in Eukaryota, Metazoa, Chordata, Actinopteri, Centrarchiformes, Sinipercidae.
UCUGGUUUCCGCCUGCCUGUGUGGGAUGCUGAGCUGAUGAUGCCGAAGCUGUGGGUACCACUUUAAAAGAGACGGAUGCAGACCACGCCCUUUCUUUACUCGCCGAUAGAGGGCGCUGUGGCGACCAAAGCUGGCCGAUCAGCAGCAGCUUUAUCUCACUGCCCUUCCAGCAGCAUCUCACCUUCAACCGGCCAGACGCACAUCCACCGCCGCACCCGAAGAGGAAAAGAAAAAACACAAGAGUGAAAGACAGCGUCAAAUAAACCAACCAGGAAAACCGAGUAACAUCAGUGUCUGUUGUUUUAAUGAUGUAGGGGAUCGUUUCGCGGUUUGACAUCUAAUUUAGCCUGCACGCCUCACUGCGACAAGGAAUCACUGUCCAGCUGCGCAUAAAUAAACUGCAGCCUGUCUCAGCUUGUCGGGAUAAAACCGUCCAACCUCUCCACCGCCCCCAGAGUCCUCUCGACGAAGAAGGACGAAGUCACUGCGCAUCCCUUGUCGUUUAUUUUGACGGUCAGAUCAGGCCCCGAUCAGCGACUGGUCGCCUCAGCAUCAUCUUUCCUCUCAGCAGAAAGCAGCAUCCUUCCUCCUCCUUGAAUCUGCGCCAUGGCCGAUGUUCCAGCGGAGUGCAACAUAAAAGUGCUGUGUCGCUUUCGCCCUCUCAACCAGUCGGAGAUUUUACGCGGGGAUCAGUUUCUCCCCAAAUUCCAAGGAGACGACACUGUCGUCGUCGGGGGGAAGUCCUACUCGUUUGAUCGAGUGUUUCCGACCAACACCACCCAGGAGCAGGUGUACAACACCUGCGCCAAGCAGAUUGUCAAGGAUGUUCUGUUUGGAUACAAUGGCACUAUCUUUGCAUAUGGACAAACCUCCUCUGGGAAGACGCACACCAUGGAGGGCAAGCUGCAUGACCCUCACCAGAUGGGAAUUAUUCCUCGCAUCGCUGAGGACAUUUUCAAUCACAUCUUUGCCAUGGAUGAAAACCUUGAAUUCCACAUCAAGGUUUCAUACUUUGAAAUCUACAUGGAUAAAAUCCGUGACCUUCUGGAUGUGACAAAGACCAACCUGUCUGUCCAUGAGGAUAAGAAUAGGGUGCCAUAUGUCAAGGGAUGCACUGAGCGUUUUGUCUCCAGCCCUGAUGAGGUUAUGGAUGUGAUCGACGAGGGCAAAGCUAACCGCCAUGUUGCUGUGACCAACAUGAACGAGCACAGUUCUCGCAGCCACAGCAUCUUCCUGAUCAACAUCAAACAGGAGCAUGUGGAGACUGAGCAGAAACUGUGUGGAAAACUGUACCUGGUAGAUCUGGCUGGCAGUGAGAAGGUCAGUAAGACUGGAGCUGCAGGAGCCGUCCUGGAUGAGGCUAAAAACAUCAACAAGUCUCUUUCUGCUCUGGGAAAUGUCAUCUCUGCCUUGGCCGAGGGCACGAAAAGUCACGUGCCUUACCGUGACAGCAAAAUGACCCGCAUCCUGCAGGAUUCCCUCGGUGGAAACUGUCGCACCACCAUGUUCAUCUGCUGCUCUCCCUCCAGCUACAACGAUGCAGAGACCAAGUCAACUCUGAUGUUUGGACAACGUGCCAAGACCAUCAGGAACACCGCCUCCAUCAACCUGGAGCUGACGGCAGAGCAGUGGAAGAGGAAGUACGAGAAGGAGAAGGAGAAGAAUAAGACUCUGAAGGACACCAUCCAGAAGCUGGAGACUGAGCUCAACCGCUGGAGAAAUGUGCCUUCAUCCCUCCGCUCAGGAGAGGACGUGCCUGAGACGGAGCAGACCACGUCGGAUAUGGUGACCCGUUUCGAGACUGUGGAGGAGCGCCCCGUUUUGGACAACGACACCUCCUCCAUUGUGGUCCGCAUUUCUGAGGAGGAGCGGCAGAAGUACGAGGAGGAGAUCCGCAAGCUGUACAAGCAGCUGGAUGACAAGGAUGAUGAGAUCAACCUGCAGUGCCAGUUGGUGGAGAAACUGAAGCAGCAGAUGCUGGACCAGGAUGAGCUCCUGGCCUCAUCCAAGGGCGAUGGGGACAAGGUCCAGGCUGAACUCGGCAGGCUGCAGGUGGAGAGCGACUGCGCCAAGGCUGAGGUGAAGGAGGUGCUGCAGGCUCUGGAGGAGCUGGCCAUCAACUACGACCAGAAGAGCCAGGAGGUGGAGGAGAAAGGACUGCAGAACCAGCUGCUGGCCGACCAACUGUCCCAGAAAAUGGCCAGUCUGAUGGAGCUGGAGGCAGAGCUGUCUCGUAUGCAGGAAGUGAGCAGUCAGCAGAGGAAACGCAUUGCUGAUGUCCUCAAUGGUCUGAUGAGGGACCUCAGCGAGUUCAGCACCAUCGUGGGCAACGGGGAGAUCAAGCUGCCAGUGGAGAUUAGCGGUGCGAUCGAGGAGGAGUUCACGGUGGCUCGCCUCUACAUCAGCAAGAUCAAGUCGGAGGUGAAGAGCAUGGUGAAGCGCUGCCGCCAGCUGGAGAACAUGCAGCUGGAGUGCCACCGCAAGAUGGAGGAGACCGGGAGGGAGCUCUCCUCCUGCCAGCUCCUCAUCUCUCAGCAUGAAGCUAAGAUCCGCUCUCUGACUGAGUACAUGCAGAGCGUGGAGCAGAAGAAGAGGCUGCUGGAGGAGAGCCACGACUCCCUGAGCGAAGAGCUGGCCAAGCUGCAAGACCAGGAUAACUCCCUGCUUGAAGAAAAGGAUGGAGAGAAGGGUGAGACUGAGGAUGGAAAUGUGAAGAAGGCUCCUCAUCAGCAGGGGGAGUCUCACCGUGGCCUCCAUCACAAGCAGCUGGCCCGCCUGCGGGAUGAGAUCAAUGAGAAGCAGAGGAUCAUUGACGAGCUCACUGAUCGUAACUCCAAGCUGGAGCUCGAGCUGGCUCAGGUUCGCGCUGACUUUGAACGUCUGAAGAGUCAGGACAACACCAAGACUGAGCGCCUGGAGGAGCUCUCAUUCCUGCAUGAGCGCCAUGAGCAGACUAAACAGGACUUGAAGGGUCUGGAGGAGACUGUUGCCCGCGAACUCCAGACCCUCCACAACCUGCGCAAGCUGUUCGUUCAAGACCUCACGUCGCGGGUUAAAAAAAGUUCCGAAAUGGAACCUGAUGAUAGCGGGGGGUCUUGCACCCAGAAGCAGAAGAUUUCCUUUCUUGAGAAUAACUUGGACCAACUUACAAAGGUUCACAAACAGCUGGUUCGUGACAAUGCAGAUCUGCGUUGUGAGCUUCCAAAGUUGGAGAAACGUCUUAGGUCUACUGCUGAGAGAGUUAAGGCCCUGGAGACUGCAUUGAGGGAUGCUAAGGAGGGUGCAAUGAUGGACCGCAGGCGCUACCAGCAGGAGGUUGACCGCAUCAAGGACGCCAUGAAGGCAAAGAGCGCCUUGAGACGCCCCCAUGCAGCACAGAUUGCCAAACCAGUGAGACCGAAGCAGCUGCCCGUCUGCUCUCCCACCAACCCAUUCUACACUUACAUCCGUGCCACUGAACAGGCCAACACCUACAGCAACGUCCUCUUCCAGAGCAACAUGACACAGCCGAGCUCUGCCAGCGUCAACUGCAACCCCAACUCUGUCCAGAGCAACACAGUUUCCACAGCACUGGGCUACAGAGCAGGCAGAUAUAAUGGAGACAUACUGGAGUCCUACCCGCUCAACAUUGACAACGGUAACAGCAUCAGUGAAACGAGAGACAUCAAUGACAACAGUUUGGCUUAACAGGAGUGAUGUUCACUGUGGCAGUGAGGUGGAUGAUUCAAAAAGGCACUACAUCAUUCAGCAGGAGACCGCUGCAAGUUAAUGCCAUGCAGAUGACCAAACACUGUACCCGUCCAAGGACCCGCCUCUCCCAUCUGCAUGCAGCCUGUCUCCCCGUCCUUCCAUUGCAUCACUGAUGAAGAUGAUGAUGAAGAUCUGUAGCCCCUGUAGUCUUCUAAUUAGAUGAAGCCUCUCCUGCUCCUAUGGUGACCACUCUCACCCUCAGGUUUAGGGUCCAGUCCCUUCCAGUUCAAUCAGUACAGGAAGUAAAUGAAAUCAGAUUUUUUUUUUAAUACAGAACUUUUGCUUAAUCAAUUCACCAAUCCUUCAGCCAAUAAAUUUGUCAUCAGAUAUCACUGAUGCUGAUUACCUCCUGAGGUGGUUGAACUGAAAUGGGGCUGACUCCAUCCCUGAUUAUUUAGUACACACAUGUUGUAAAUAAUAGUGCUGUAUACUCCAGUAGAGGUUUUUGACCAGCAACUGUUUGUGUGAAUGCACAGCCUCCACCGUCCCCCGCACACAUCUUCUUAAGGGCAUCAUGUGGUUGACAAACUGUAGGCAGACAUGACCUUUUUCUCUGUCGUAAAUAAGAGUAUAGUGUGUAACGCCAGCUUGUAACAGAAGACCCACACUCUGCAUGCAUGUCGCUUAGCGGGUUAGCUUUCAAACCUUUGCAUGUGUCCUGAUUCAUGUCAGGAGCUGGUAUGCUGCGAGUGAACCGUCUGAUCGACUUUGACACAUGUCACACAGAGAAAGAGAGAGCUGGUGUCCCUUAAUCCUGAUCCUGGUUUCAGUGCUUUAGAUUUUCUAUUAUAGUAAGUAAAACUGGGCUGUUGUGCUAAUGUGGCUUAAACACAGGAAAAACGACAAAAAAACACAUCUGGGUCUAUUUUUAAUUUAAUAGAAGAGGACAUAAGAGGCAACAUGUGUCAGGGAAACCCAGCCCAGACCUGCAGUCUGUAUCGAGGAAACCUUUUGUAUUUGCUUUGAUACUGUGAUGUUGCAGCUGUAUGAUGCCAUUCUACAUUUCAGGUAAUGCUGUCCAUGUCCAUUUAAUGUGGCUCCCUCCCUGCAUUGCACCCACACGAGUCUUCAUACCGAGCCUUAACAAGAGCUGAUUUCUCAUUAUCAAACUAACACACUGUCAUAUGUAUACAUUUGUAAUUACUACCUCUAGAGCUACUCAAUAUACACCUAACACAAUAUACUAUACACCAAUAGCUGUAAUCAGAUUUAAAUGCUCUUAUCAGAGCAGUAGUUAUGUUUUCCUGAAGUUCAUUCAUAUACAGAAGGAAUCUGUGUAUGUCCAUCGUCAUGUUUAACAGAAUCAAAGCUGCGCUGAAAAAGUGCUUGCAAAAAUGUUCUACUGCAGCAGAGUACCAGAAAGUGUGGUUUCACCACAUCUGGGCAGGUCAGACAGUGUCAAGUUCAUUGUCAAAAGAGAAGUAUAUUACACUGAUAUUAAAAUAUUUUCUUAAACUUUCUGAUGCAUUUUCCUAUUUGGCACCUAGUAAGGCUGGAAUUAUGAGACCUGCUUUGUCUCCUAAUAUAAAGUUACACUAUUGACAUACUUCCCCUACAUUAUCAAAAUUUUUAUUUUAAAACAGACGUGAAGUAACAUCUCAAGCCCCUUUAAGGCUAUAUGGAAGUUAUUCAGUGAUUCAGUGCUUUUUAAUCAGAGCCAUCAAAAAUCCAGUGAUUAGGGAGUGUCUGCAAACGAGUCCCCAACUGAGCAGCCACCAGUCUGGGAUGGACGGACUGUUUGACAGAAGCUUGUUGUUUGUAGCUUGUUGUCAGGUCAUGCUGUUAUUCUUCUGUGAGAAAUCCUGACCAGCCAAUCAGGAUAGAAGAAAGCAGCAUGUCUUAGGUGGGUGACGAAGAGAUGGAUUUGUUUGGACUGAGCUGAGUCACUGAAUUAAAGGACAGAUUAGACCAGAAGUGUGUCAUUCUUAAAGGAAACAUGCAUAACAACCAAAUAGCUUUUGCAAGAAAAUGAGCGUAUAAGUGAUAUAAGUAUAAGUGAGAGAAAGAGUUCAUUUUGAUUUCUAUUUCUAUUUUAUGUUUACACUUUGACCAGACUUAUUUGAUCACAGCUGACUCUGAUCUGAUUUUUCAGAGUUUGAUUGAGCAUCCAUCUAUUAAUAUUUGCAUAACAAAAUCUUCAAUUUUAUACUGAAAAAUGUUUCUCUAUGUAAAUUUCAGUGUAUUACAUCGCAUGACUGGACUUAGCCCAAUAUAGGACCCCAAUAUGUAAAGUGAAGGACCCUCCCCAGUCAUCUGAUCCCUAGCAGCAUCCUUAGCACCGCUCUGUCUCAUGCUCUUACUGGCAUUAACAACAUCUCAGGGCUUCACAAUCACAAUCACAGCCACCAUAGGCCACCACCACUGUCUUCCUCAAAGACUUAAAACCAUGUGAUUGCUGAUGAACAAUCAGGUCAGUGUGUGUUCUUCGAGGCUUAGCAGAUGAAGGGGAUGAUAAAUCUAACAUUACAGAAAUAACAUCACUUUAUACAUAGUAUAUAACAUCUCCAUUGUAUCACAUGACAUCCAAAAUGAAAAAAUCCCUCAGCUGCACCUGGUCAGACCCUACUGUAUGUGUCCAAGCAGACCCUCUAUUUGACAUCAUGUUUUAAGUAUAAUAAAUAGGUUUGAAGGAGGGGGAAAUGUGUACUAUAUUGUCACCUGCUGUUCCACUGUCUGAUUUCAACAUAUCUAAAAUACAUGUGCUAUAUAUUGUUAAUCUUGUAAGUAAAAUAGCGUGCCAUGACAUAGUAAAAUGCAAAAGAACGGUACACGCUAACUUUGUUCAGAGAAAUGUUUGUUUUAUUUAUUUCUGUACGCCUAUACUGUAGCGUCAACAUGAUUAUGUGAAGAAUCACCGUGCAAAAUUUCUGUAUAUAUAGACUCCUCACUAUGCUGUAUUGUAAGUGAACCAUUGUGUUGUAGUAAAAAGUUCAAUAAACUUGUAGAAAGGA